AUCAUGGUUUUGCUGCCCUCUAGUGAGCAUACAUUUAACUACUACAGUUUCUGGUACUGUCUGAAAAAUGACAGUCAUAUCUUUUCUGGUUUACAAGGGAGAGGCCACAGCAGAGCAUCUAUCACUUUAAACACAUCUCAUACCUGUGUGAUGAGGUAGCCUUAGCCUGACCUCAUCACCAUUUUAAAAGGGGUUCAGCAGCGACACUGGUGUCAGGAAGUUUAUGGAGCAUCAGCCCCCCUGUUGGAAAGCCAGAGGUAGAUUUCCUCAGCCUUCACAAGCAUCUUCUGGUGACACCAUGGGUUGCCAACGAGGAGGUGAACACCGAGAGGACGGAGCUGGAGGCAAAUAGCCAAAGAAGAAAAAGAACGCCAUUAGGAAGAUCUUCAGCCGCCUCUGGAGGAUCAUAACGUGUUCCUCUGGGAUCUUCAGAGAGGACGACAACUGAGCUGCCUCCAUUGUAAAUAACUGUUUUACAAGUUGAUACCACCAACUGUAACAUCAUCAUGGCCAAUUAUAUCAUUUUAUGUAAAUAACCCAAAAAUAAAAACUCAAUUUUGCCAAAAAG
This 568-nucleotide long non-coding RNA is filed under the name Salmo salar (Atlantic salmon). RNAcentral's name for it is "lncRNA (ENSSSAG00000089899.1, ENSSSAG00000102452.1)". The record is from RNAcentral. Lineage: Eukaryota; Metazoa; Chordata; Actinopteri; Salmoniformes; Salmonidae.